CGCCUGGGGAGUGCGGCCGCAAGGUUAAAACUCAAAUGAAUUGACGGGGGCCCGCACAAGCGGUGGAGCAUGUGGUUUAAUUCGACGCAACGCGAAGAACCUUACCUGGCCUUGACAUCCAGAGAGCUUUCCAGAGAUGGAUUGGUGCCUUCGGGAACUCUGAGACAGGUGCUGCAUGGCCGUCGUCAGCUCGUGUCGUGAGAUGUUGGGUUAAGUCCCGUAACGAGCGCAACCCCUAUCCCUGGUUGCUAGCAGGUAAUGCUGAGAACUCCAGGAAGACUGCCGGUGACAAACCGGAGGAAGGUGGGGAUGACGUCAGGUCAUCAUGGCCCUUACGGCCAGGGCUACACACGUGCUACAAUGGCGCGUACAGAGGGCUGCCAACUCGCGAGAGUGAGCCAAUCCCUUAAAACGCGUCGUAGUCCGGAUCGGAGUCUGCAACUCGACUCCGUGAAGUCGGAAUCGCUAGUAAUCGCGAAUCAGAAUGUCGCGGUGAAUACGUUCCCGGGCCUUGUACACACCGCCCGUCACACCAUGGGAGUGGAUUGCACCAGAAGUAGUUAGUCUAACCUUCGGGAGGACGAUUACCACGGUGUGGUUCAUGACUGGGGUGAAGUCGUAACAAGGUAACCGUA
This 635-nucleotide ribosomal RNA is filed under the name uncultured Marinobacter sp. RNAcentral's name for it is "bacterial SSU rRNA". It matches the Rfam family "Bacterial small subunit ribosomal RNA", at positions 870 to 1504 of the family's 1533-position model. The record is from RNAcentral. Lineage: Bacteria; Pseudomonadati; Pseudomonadota; Gammaproteobacteria; Pseudomonadales; Marinobacteraceae.